This 72-nucleotide transfer RNA is filed under the name Roseovarius faecimaris. It matches the Rfam family "tRNA". From Rfam's summary of the family: Transfer RNA (tRNA) molecules are approximately 80 nucleotides in length. Their secondary structure includes four short double-helical elements and three loops (D, anti-codon, and T loops). Lineage: Bacteria; Pseudomonadati; Pseudomonadota; Alphaproteobacteria; Rhodobacterales; Roseobacteraceae. The record is from Rfam by way of RNAcentral.
UGCUUGUAGCUCAGGUGGAAGAGCAACAGAUUCAGGGUCUGUGGGUCGAGGGUUCGAGUCCCUCCAUAGCAA